RNAcentral lists this ribosomal RNA (1242 nucleotides) under metagenome. Its description in RNAcentral is "bacterial LSU rRNA". It matches the Rfam family "Bacterial large subunit ribosomal RNA", at positions 1638 to 2870 of the family's 2925-position model. The record is from RNAcentral.
ACGACCGUACCGCAAACCGACACUGGUGCGCGAGAUGAGUAUUCUAAGGCGCUUGAGAGAACUCAGGAGAAGGAACUCGGCAAAUUGACACCGUAACUUCGGAAGAAGGUGUGCCUUUAGUAGGUGAACCAUUUACUUGGGGAGCCCAAUGAGGCUGCAAAAAAUCGGUGGCUGCAACUGUUUAUUAAAAACACAGCACUCUGCUAAGACGAAAGUCGACGUAUAGGGUGUGACGCCUGCCCGGUGCUGGAAGAUUAAAUGAUGGGGUGCAAGCUCUUGAUUGAAGUCCCAGUAAACGGCGGCCGUAACGAUAACGGUCCUAAGGUAGCGAAAUUCCUUGUCGGGUAAGUUCCGACCUGCACGAAUGGCGUAAUGAUGGCCACACUGUCUCCUCCUGAGACUCAGCGAAGUUGAAAUGUUUGUGAUGAUGCAAUCUCCCCGCGGAAAGACGGAAAGACCCCAUGAACCUUUACUGUAGCUUUGUAUUGGACUUUGAACAGAUCUGUGUAGGAUAGGUGGGAGGCUUUGAAGUGUGGUCGCUAGAUCGCAUGGAGCCAACGUUGAAAUACCACCCUGGUGUGUUUGAGGUUCUAACCUAGGUCCAUUAUCUGGAUCGGGGACAGUGCAUGGUAGGCAGUUUGACUGGGGCGGUCUCCUCCCAAAGUGUAACGGAGGAGUUCGAAGGUACGCUAGUUACGGUCGGACAUCGUGAUAAUAGUGCAAUGGCAUAAGCGUGCUUAACUGCAGACUGACAAGUCGAGCAGAUGCGAAAGCAGGACAUAGUGAUCCGGUGGUUCUGUAUGGAAGGGCCAUCGCUCAACGGAUAAAAGGUACCCUGGGGAUAACAGGCUGAUACCGCCCAAGAGUUCAUAUCGACGGCGGUGUUUGGCACCUCGAUGUCGGCUCAUCUCAUCCUGGGGCUGUAGCCGGUCCCAAGGGUAUGGCUGUUCGCCAUUUAAAGAGGUACGUGAGCUGGGUUUAAAACGUCGUGAGACAGUUUGGUCCCUAUCUUCCGUGGGCGCUGCAGAUUUGAGGAAGCCUGCUCCUAGUACGAGAGGACCGGAGUGGACGAACCUCUGGUGUAUCGGUUGUCACGCCAGUGGCAUUGCCGAGUAGCUAAGUUCGGAAGAGAUAACCGCUGAAAGCAUCUAAGCGGGAAACUCGUUUCAAGAUUAGAUCUGCCGGGGCCUUGAGCCCCCUAAAGAGUCGUUCAAGACCAGGACGUUGAUAGGUCAGGUGUGA